UACGUAUCCAAGCGUUAUGAAGAAGUGAGUUUUUGUUGAUUGAUGAUUUGUCUCUAACAUUUGCUCUCUUCAUUGUAUCCCUCUCUAGUUCAAAGUGGAAGGCUGUGAGAAGUGCAGUAGUCUUUUCAACAAAGAAGGCCGUGUGCGGACUGUGAACACUGCGUCUGCGGGGGGGUCUGAGGAGCAAGAUGAGGAGAAGGAGAGUCUGAAGAUCCAGCUGAGAGAGAUGGAGCUGGAGCUGGCCCAGACCAAACUGCAGCUGGUGGAGGCCGAGUGCAAACUCCAGGACCUGGAGCACCACCUGGGUCUGGCCCUGAACGAGAUGCAGGCCGCCAAGAAGACCUGGUUCAACCGAACGCUCAGCUCCAUCAAGACCGUCACGGGGAACCAGGGCAAGGAGACCACCUAACCUGAUAGCCCCUUCCCCAGUUUUACCCAGGCCAUGUGUGGAGCUCCCCACACUGAAACCUGCGGGCACAUAACUUAACCCACCGACUUUAACAUGAACAUUGACCGUUAAAUCCAAGGACGUCCAUUACUACGGACUGUGUUUCUUGUUCCUCUUAUUAAGAAUGUCGUCAUGCAUAAUCCCCAUCCAUUAUACCCCCCUCCACCCCCAAAUGACUACAGCCAAAUGUGCUGCUGAGAAGGGGCAGAAACGUUCCCCAGAGACACCAUGUGCUUCCACCGGUCACAGAAAAAAAGCGUGAUGCUUCAUUUAUUUCUGUCUUUGUACUGCUGAUGAUAACGACCCGCAGAAGAAAGGCAGGACAUCUGAAGAGUUACUGUCCUGACGGGAUAGAGAAGAAAACACUCCGUCCUUCCUCACUCUUCUGCGGGAUCCCCUCUAAACUACUGGUGCAACCAGGCCCUGUCAAAUGUUCCUUUUAGGUACGAGAGCUAAUAGACGCCUUUUCAAAACUGAGCUUUUUUCUAAUUUACGUUAAAAAACACCUUUUUGUUUUCUACAUGUAUGUAUGUACAUGAAUGUGCUUAUGUAAUGAGCAUAUGUGUGUAUGUGUAAGCACGCAUGUUUUGUGUUGACUAUGGGGUGUAUGUGAGACUGAAAAUAUGUGUUUGAAUGCAUAAAUAAUAGACUGAAGUAACGUUAAAAUGUGUAUACGAGGAAGAGGGAGACAAUGUGUGGGAAGGGAAAGAAAAAAGAACUAAGGUUAUGUGUGUGUGUGUGUGUGUGUGUGUGUGUGUGUGUGUGUGUGUGUGUGUGUGUGUGUGUGUGUGUGUGUGUGUAAGGGGAAAGAGUGUUUCCCUGGUUGUCUAGUUUCCUUUAUUGUUUAAAUGUGCAUAUGAAUGAUGCUGAAGAAAAGUUUGCUGACAAAGCCUUGAUCAGAAGGUCGAUAACAUUGAAACUAGUGGAUGUGUGUGAAUAUAUAAAUUACAGUCAAUUGUCCUCACAUCAAAUAUCUGACAUUUAACAUGCUUGAGGUUUGUUUGGUUUGGAUGUCCCAGCACAAAGAAACUAAAAAAAGCUCCAAACCGUGCAAACCUUCUCAUGUAGUAUACACUUUGUGUAUUUAUGUUACAACACUGUUAAAGUGGUGCAAUGCUUUUUCAAACCCUAAACAUCACUUUGUGGAAGUCAAAAUAGAAAGGCCACGCACAGGACGUUGUGAUUCCUGCUGCACUUGAACACACCUUCAACCCCCUGCUGUAAGGCCCAGCUGCUCUGUGACCUUCGACCUCUGAACUAGACAGGCAGGGUCAUGUGUGGUACUCCAUCGAGCAGGACGGUUUUGUUUUUCACACUUCAGUCGGAUAUUUGGGUUCUCUUUCACCACUACACACUGAAUUACACUGUUGGUUUUAUAUAUUGGCAGAUACAGAACAAACACACAGUGGCUGAUUUAUGUGGGACACCUGCUUCUAUUUCUGAGGACAAUUUCUAAUUGUUUGGUCACUUUCUAGCAAAGAAUAGUAUGAUGUUGGAUCGAAAAGAUGUAAUGAUUAUUAUAGUGUGAAGAUCAGCAACACUUUAACAGGAGGGCCAUAUGACAGAUACGUACAGAAGUGUAAGCAUGAUUAAUGGUUGAAAAAUGCUGAAUGAUGCAACAAAUGUUAGUUUCUUUUGUCCCAUGCUGAUGGUAGAAAGCAAAGGAAGUCAUUAAAAGCUUGUUUCCUGUGUUGAGUCAAAGUUGAAGUUAUGAUUUUUCUUGACUUAAAAUUAGAUCCCGUAGUGUCACUGCCACUGUGUAGAAAAGCUACCGACCAUCAUCUCAAGAUAAAUCCAGCGACAUGACAGAAAUCUGUGUUUGUUCCGGCUCCCUGCACUCAUUGAGAACACAUUUGGGAGGAGGUGGAACAAGAGAUCAAGCAUCUCGCAGCCUCCAAAAAUCAGCAGGAAUAGAUCGAUGGAACCUGCUUGGAGCGAAGUCCCUUGAAACAUGUUUGAACUCCUCGAUGAAUUCAUGCCUCAAAGAAUUCCUCUUGUUCAGGAGGCCAUAGCAGAUGUAGAACUAUCAAAGUGGAUGUGAUUGUAGAAGCAGAAAAUGAACACGUAAAACUGCAGAAGUGAAACUCUGCACCUCUAGCUUGGAUCGGUAUCACAGAAGAUGCACCAUCAGUCGCAGGGAUCAGAGGUCAAUGCAGAGGUCAAGCUGACAUGCUCGCGAUGGGGGGUUUCAAAAGUGCAUGCGUGUGUGUUUUCAUAUUUAGGGGGGCAACCAUUUCUCAAUUUCUAUUCACUGAUCAAAUGAGACUGGAGAAUAAAAACAAACAGUGAAAACUGUAUUUCUGUUUCCAGCCUAAACUGAACAGUUACUGUUUUUUUUAAUUUAACGUGAAGGUGGAAUCUGAUUGGCUGAAAUCUGCUGGUGAUGUCAGAGGAAGGACCAAGAUGAAGUUAUUCCUCUAAAGGCACUGGGUUGUAUAUAACAAACAUUUAAACAUUAAUAUUGAGUUUUUGUUCAUGAUUUUCUACUCUGUAAAGAUAACUAAUUUUGCCUACUUGUAUCUACCAACCUGCUGCCGUGCUACCGUUUAAUUCACAACAAUGUUUUCUGUUGUUAUUUUUGCUCUGAGCUUCUCAGUCAAACUGCUGUUUGGUUAAUUAAAUGCCAAAAUGUAGCUUUAU
Notothenia coriiceps (black rockcod) is the source of this 3088-nucleotide long non-coding RNA. RefSeq lists it as uncharacterized. The record is from RefSeq and is a predicted model, not a curated record. Lineage: Eukaryota; Metazoa; Chordata; Actinopteri; Perciformes; Nototheniidae. The transcript has 2 exons.